GCCCCUAUCGUCUAGCGGUUAGGACAUCAGAUUCUCAUUCUGGUAACAUGGGUUCGAUUCCCGUUAGGGGUGCCA
RNAcentral lists this transfer RNA (75 nucleotides) under Alphaproteobacteria bacterium. Its description in RNAcentral is "tRNA-Glu". It matches the Rfam family "tRNA". Rfam says of the family: Transfer RNA (tRNA) molecules are approximately 80 nucleotides in length. Their secondary structure includes four short double-helical elements and three loops (D, anti-codon, and T loops). RNAcentral also lists the same sequence under 1 other name. The record is from RNAcentral. Lineage: Bacteria; Pseudomonadati; Pseudomonadota; Alphaproteobacteria.